Molecule: ribosomal RNA, 253 nt
Filed under: uncultured bacterium
Lineage: Bacteria
Description: partial 16S ribosomal RNA
Rfam family: Bacterial small subunit ribosomal RNA
Source: RNAcentral
UACGUAGGUGGCAAGCGUUGUCCGGAUUUAUUGGGCGUAAAGAGCGUGUAGGCGGUUUGGUAGGUCCGCUGUGAAAACUCGAGGCUCAACCUCGAGACGCCGGUGGAAACCAUCAGACUAGAGUCCGGAAGAGGAGAGUGGAAUUCCUGGUGUAGCGGUGAAAUGCGCAGAUAUCAGGAAGAACACCCGUGGCUAAGGCGGCUCUCUAGUACGGUACUGACGCUGAGACGCGAAAGCGUGGGGAGCGAACAGG